AUCAGCGGAAAUACUAUCAAUUCACUCUCAAUCGAAAUUCUAGGGAGCAUUGUCGGUCGUUUUCUUCCAAUUUAUUUGUCUCGUCUAUUCACUGAAUCACGGAAACAAACAUUUGGGAUCAAUAUUAUGAUUUAUAGUAAAGUUUUUGGAGUAUAAGGAAAAGUUUGGAUAUCUAUUCAGUCAACGCCCCUUUAAACCCAAACAGACUAAACUAGAUGUGGUUCGACACGCAUAGAAGCCAAAUGGACUUCAUACCAUAUACGCGACAAAGAAAAAAUGUUUAAUCUUUUGUGGCUAACACAUGUGCUGGGUGCCGUGACACGAAUAUUAAAAUCAAACAGGCUCAACAAACAAUCUGGCUGCCGGUUUUAAGAUGCUGAGAUCCCUAUCCAAAUAUGGACUUUAGUUUUAAGGUUCUCACGAAGAGUGAAAGAUAAUAAUGUAUGGCUAACAAGAAUUUACUUGAAACACAGUAAGAGGUCGACUUUUCUAUUUUUUAUUAAUGCGAUAAUAAAAGAACAUUUUACCAAAAUCAAUUCAAUACUAAUUAAUAAUUUUCGACAGCAUUUGGUGUUUGACGUAUUUCCGUUUCCAUGCGGAUUUUUGUUGCCUCCAGUUAAUUCAUACAAUUAUCUGUUUCUAUCAUUUGAUUCAAAAUCCACUAGAUUAUUUAUUCUUUUUUAAAUUAAGUGCGCGAAAAACAACCUCCUGUCAAAAAUAAAAGAUGAAGCGUUUGCGAAAGUACUAUUUAUUUGAAUCCAGAAGUUGUCUUUGAUUGGAAUGACAAAGGCAUGACAUUCAUAAUUGUAAACUGUCAGACCCAAGAAAUGACACAAGAAUCAAUACCACACCCUCCAAGCUGCGACCACCACGACGUCACAUCCGGAAACAAAAGUGGCUGUCUGUUUUAUAUUCAUCCUGUAAGCUAUUCAGUAUAAGGGAGUCAGUCACCUUAAACAAAGAAAUAAUACUCUAGGGAAUAACACGUGGUUUGAAAAAAAACAGUGGAUUAGGUCUAUUCUCAAUCUAAGUCUCAUUUAUAUGAAGCAUUAUCCCUUUCAGUGUUAAAUCUCUGCUGCAACUUCAAAUUAUUUGGAGUGUACUGUCCAGCUAUGAGAUGAUCUUUACCCUAUAGAUGAAAUCUUAAUCCUUUAGACCUCUCAUCUCUUGUUACAACCUUGUAAGAAACUAAUGUAACCCUUAACAAUGAUUUAAUACUAAAGGAAAACUUAGGUAUCAAGGAAUUCUAUUCUGAUUCUAUGAUUAUUCUACUUAUACAAGUAAUAUACAAUGAACCUCUCAGAUAACAUUUUAAACUAUGUGGAGUCACUAUGAUUACUUUCAGAGGCCAUGCGACGAUAACUACUGCCUCUUACGAAGAGUUGACAUCUUGAAAUGCUAAUGUCCUUUUUAAAGGAAACAAAGUUACUGCAAUUUUCUUAAACAUGCAAACUCUGUGUCUGCAAGCUGCACGCUGAAAUUGGUUUGUCAAUCAAACCUAAUCAGUCAGUACCUUUCGUAUUUUUGACUGACUGCAGCGAAAAAACAAAAUUUCAGUGUGCAGCUCAGAGACACAGAGUUCACAUGUUUAUGAAAAUUGCAGCAACCUAGCUAGUGUAGUUCUAGUCCUAGGGAUAAUUGUUUUGCUUUUGGUUUUCCAUGAGGAAGGUAAACAAAAAAAAAACUAGGAUUACAAGAGUGGAUCCAAGAGGGUAAACUGGGUGACUAGUCACCUCCCUUUGAAAUAAAAAGGUAAGACCUAAAAAGAAUGCUAUAUGAUGUAUUUCUAGCUAACAGUUACCCCCUGUGAAAUAGGUUGGACCUGCCACUAGAUUACCCUACCUUCAUGUAAACAGGGCCUUAGAAUCGGACCAUAUUUGUUCUUCACAUGUAUAAAUUACUACUAAGUAGCUGACUUUCCUUCAUUUUCUAUUUUAAAUCUUCCAAGAUUUAGAUAGUCUUUGUACUUGGCUGAUACUAGUUGGUGUAGAAACUGAACUUGAUCAGGAUCACUGCAGCCAUGGUCAAUCAUGGAUCGACAGGAGGCAACAGUUCUAGCAGCAGACCCAACAAGGUUCUUAUUAAAUCAGAAUACCCAGCCAUAAUAUUGGGACGUGAAGUAUUUGGGUUAAACUGUCUGCUGCAACCUAAAUAAUGAAAGAAUGCUUGAAAGAUGGUUGGAUUAUAGUACAAUUUUAACAUUUACACAGAAGUAYUUGACUGUGGUUAUAAUGUUAGGAUAAUCUCAACAUAGACUAGAAUAUUAUAACACACCACCUUUCAAUAUCAGCUGUUAAUGAGCCCUCAAUUGUUGUCAUUAGGUUCUUACAAAUAAUGGUCACUGUUGAUAAAAAUGAAUAAAUAAAAAAUA
Molecule: long non-coding RNA, 2371 nt
Organism: Actinia tenebrosa (Australian red waratah sea anemone)
Lineage: Eukaryota; Metazoa; Cnidaria; Anthozoa; Actiniaria; Actiniidae
Source: RefSeq, a predicted model, not a curated record